This 263-nucleotide ribosomal RNA is filed under the name Ostracion sp. AD-2003. Its description in RNAcentral is "partial 28S ribosomal RNA". It matches the Rfam family "Eukaryotic large subunit ribosomal RNA", at positions 3115 to 3369 of the family's 3401-position model. The record is from RNAcentral. Lineage: Eukaryota; Metazoa; Chordata; Actinopteri; Tetraodontiformes; Ostraciidae.
UAUGACUGAACGCCUCUAAGUCAGAAUCCCGCCUAGACGUAACGAUACCAUAGCGCCGCGGAACUUCGGUUGGUCUCGGAUAGCCGGCUUCGGUCGGUGAGGAGAGCCGUUCGUGACUGGGCUGGGGCGCGGCCGGAUGAUGGUCGCCCCUCUCCUAUCUCGCACCGCAUGUUUGUGGAGAACCUGGUGCUAAAUCACUUGCAGACGACCUGAUUCUGGGUCAGGGUUUCGUGCGUAGCAGAGCAGCUCCCUCGCUGCGAUCU